CCUACGGGAGGCAGCAGUGGGGAAUAUUGGGCAAUGGGCGUAAGCCUGACCCAGCAACGCCGCGUGAAGGAAGAAGGCUUUCGGGUUGUAAACUUCUUUUAAGAGGGAGAGCAGAAGACGGUACCUCUUGAAUAAGCCCCGGCUAACUACGUGCCAGCAGCCGCGGUAAUACGUAGGGGGCAAGCGUUGUCCGGAUUUACUGGGUGUAAAGGGCGUGUAGCCGGGGUGACAAGGUAGAUGUGAAAUCCCGUGGCUCAACCACGGAACUGCAUUUGAAACUGUCGGUCUUGAGUAUCGGAGAGGCAGGCGGAAUUCCUAGUGUAGCGGUGAAAUGCGUAGAUAUUAGGAGGAACACCAGUGGCGAAGGCGGCCUGCUGGACGACAACUGACGGUGAGGCGCGAAAGCGUGGGGAGCAAACAGGAUUAGAUACCCUUGUAGUC
This 441-nucleotide ribosomal RNA is filed under the name uncultured bacterium. Its description in RNAcentral is "partial 16S ribosomal RNA". It matches the Rfam family "Bacterial small subunit ribosomal RNA", at positions 338 to 795 of the family's 1533-position model. The record is from RNAcentral.